Molecule: long non-coding RNA, 1284 nt
Organism: Mirounga angustirostris (Northern elephant seal)
Lineage: Eukaryota; Metazoa; Chordata; Mammalia; Carnivora; Phocidae
Exons: 3
Source: RefSeq, a predicted model, not a curated record
GGGAUAAGUUUUUGUUGUUUACAAGCCACCCAGUCCAUGCUGUUUUGUUCCAGCAGCAAAGGGAUGAAGACGGAAAUCGGCGCAGAGCAGUGGGCUCCUGCCACUGUUACAAACACCUAGAAAGCGGGGACGUGGCUUUGGAGCCGGGUGACGGGCAGAAGCUGGAGGCGCUCUGAGGAGCUAGGAAAGGCGCCCUGCUGUGCUUGGACCUGCAGUGGUGACUCCGUUGAGGAAGACGCUGCUGGGAGGUCCUGUGCCCGUCUGCCACUCGGAGACAUAGUGGGAAGAUGGGUGCCCGAAGCAGGAAGCGGCCCUCCCCACAGACUGAAUCUUCGGGCUCCUGCAGAUGGUGAGGAAUACGUGUCUUGCUGAAGCCCCCAGUCUAUGCUAUACUUGUGAUGGCAGCCAGAAGAGACCAAGAAUGGCAACCUGCAGAGUGGAAAAUCCUCCCAAGAAGCAGCAAGUCCCUGGGGGCCCUGGAGGCAUUUUAAGGCCCGCCCCUUUGCUCCUGCUUUCACUGCUCCCUUCCAGCCGUGGACUCCGGCCUCGUCCACGUGACUUCUCUGGCCAACGAGACAUCAGGAAACCCGCUCCAAGCAGGGGCUUGAAACGCCUUCCCCUGCUGUGCAGCAGCAUGUGAGUAAGCCCAGGCCAGGCUGAUCUCCACGCUGCCCUCUUACAGCCCCUCCUCUGCUCUGUCCGGAGCCUCCCUCUGGCCCUCCCUGUGAGGACACUCGUGGAAGCAUUUAGGGCCCACCUGCGAAAUCCAGGACAGUCCCCCAUCUCAAGACUCUCAAUUUAGUUGUCCACAAAGAUCGCUUUUCCAUAGAAGGCAACAUUUACAGGGAUGAGGACCCGAUAUUUUGAGGGGCAGUGUUCAGCCCUGCCAGCUCCCUAACAGAUGACAGCUGACCGUUGAUGCGGGAGUGAGCCUGCGGCCAGUCAGAGAAUCUCAGCUGCCCCAGAGGAACUGCUGGCCACGGAAUCCUGAACUGAUAAGUGAUCCUUGUUUUAAACCAUUAAGUUUUGGAGAGGUUUGCUAUGCAGCAAAAGCUGACUGAGACAUGAUGAUUUGGGUUGACUGACAGCACCUGAAAGCCGCUUCCCACCCCAUCCUGUCCCUCUGGAUUUGGUUUAUUUCUCAACAUGCCUCGUGAAAAUAUUAGAACAGCGAUUUCCUUAGUAAUUAGAAGGGUCUCUUUCCCACAUUUGCCUCUGUUGCUCAUCACUAAAACCAUGAACCAAACUUUGCAAAAUAAAACCAGUCUCAUACGGGCAAGAUAA